Pyrus x bretschneideri (Chinese white pear) is the source of this 1732-nucleotide long non-coding RNA. RefSeq lists it as uncharacterized. The transcript has 3 exons. Lineage: Eukaryota; Viridiplantae; Streptophyta; Magnoliopsida; Rosales; Rosaceae. The record is from RefSeq and is a predicted model, not a curated record.
AAGAAACCAAGAAUGAAGAUUUUCGCUAAAAAGAGUCUAGAUAAGAAAAAGAAUAAAAAAAACCUUCAACAUCUUAUGUGCAAUACAGAUGCAAUGUUUUUGGGUUUGCAAAUUCAAUGCAAUUGUAAAAGCCAAUGCUUCAACAACGUCAUGAUGUCUGCAAUCAUUUGGGCAAGACACCAUUUUGAAGUCCGAUCAAAUUCUACAUGGAUGAUGAAAUCGUUGCAACGGAGAGAAAAAGAAAGUCUGAUAUGGAUCUGAUCAAGAUUAUACAAUGCUAUGACUCCAAGCAACAAAAGUUCAAAUUUGGGGAUCUGAGCCAAGAGGAAUAACAAGUGAAGAUGUUGCUUAAAUAUUUGGUUUAAACAACCAAGGAGUUGAACUAUCAAACACAGACAAAUCCACAAAAAACAUGAAGGACAACUUUGUCAAAACAUAUUUUGCAAACCAAAAAAUAGUGAAAAAAAAAGGACAUUCUUGAAGCGUACCAAAAAUCAAUCCAAGACGAAACUCCUAAAGGGGCAAAGGCUACUGCUUCAACUAUAUGUGUGCAUCUCCUACAAUCCCUCUUAUUUGCAACCUUCGGAACAUACAUCACGUGGAGCUUCGUAACAAUUUGUGGGGCAUUGGACCAAAUCAGCAAAUACAACUAGGCAAAAGGAGUGAGGGACUACUUGUUCAAGCUGAUUAACAAAUCAAAGAAAAAGAGGAAAAAUGGAAAAGAAUCAGCAACAACAAGCGGAUGUAUUGCCCUUAUUCUGUAUUGGAUUUGUCUUCACACCAAUCUGGUGGAGACAAUAAGUGGACGAGAAAACAUGGUUCCUGCCAUUGGAAGAUGGGACAUAACCAAAAUCCACAAAGCAAUUAGAGAUAUUCCAGUUGAACAAAUUGAGAUUAGUGGUGGUAUUCCUUGUGCUAAACCGAAUGAGCCGAUUCUUGCUGCUAUACCUUCUGAAGAACCAACACAUGAGCAGUCUAACAUAAACCAAGAAGAAGAUAAUGUCCAUUCCUUCUCCUAAACAAAGAAACAAGCCUUCCAAGAAAAAAGAAAAGAAGACAACAGGAAGGAAAAGGAAGAGAACUGAAGUUGAAGCUCAACAAGAUCACAUUAUCACCAUCAAUGAAGCUCAGUUACAGUUUGAUCAACUAUACACAGAAGAAUUGAUGAAAUUUGAUGUAAUUUAUCAAAAGGACAUGAUAGGGAUUGAUACCACAUUAGGUGUGGAAGGUUUUGAAGAGUUUAAAGAUGUGCGAGCAUGGAUCAAAAGAGGAAUCUAGUCCUCAGUCACAUGAUGAUAUAUGCACUUGACAACCUACACACAGAUUCAAUUGUAACGAAUCAAACAACAGGAGCACUCAACAAAAACGUUGAAAAGCUUCUGCAAGAACAACAUGAAGACAAGCAGAAGAUUAGUUUAAUGAUAUUUGAAAUGAGACAGUUGCAAUUAAAGAACUCAGCAGCUUCUAUGAAAGUAAAAAAACUUCUGGAUGAAAUUGGAAGUUUGAAAGAGAAGCUACUGGAAAAGCAACCAAUAGUACUAGAUCUAAAUGCUUCAAUAGAGGAAGAUCAAAAUUUCAAGGAUCCAGAAAAGGAGGAACCACCUAAAGAAGAUCCAGAUAAUGAUGAUUGAAUUGAAGAGCAUACACAUGAUAAGGAUAUUGUUAUUGAUGAUCCAGUUCAAGAGAAUGCAACUGAAAAUGACGUGGCUAUGGAGGAUCCAGAACAAAGGCA